Molecule: ribosomal RNA, 465 nt
Filed under: uncultured Klebsiella sp.
Lineage: Bacteria; Pseudomonadati; Pseudomonadota; Gammaproteobacteria; Enterobacterales; Enterobacteriaceae
Description: bacterial SSU rRNA
Rfam family: Bacterial small subunit ribosomal RNA
Source: RNAcentral
CCUACGGGAGGCAGCAGUGGGGAAUAUUGCACAAUGGGCGCAAGCCUGAUGCAGCCAUGCCGCGUGUGUGAAGAAGGCCUUCGGGUUGUAAAGCACUUUCAGCGGGGAGGAAGGCGGUGAGGUUAAUAACCUCAUCGAUUGACGUUACCCGCAGAAGAAGCACCGGCUAACUCCGUGCCAGCAGCCGCGGUAAUACGGAGGGUGCAAGCGUUAAUCGGAAUUACUGGGCGUAAAGCGCACGCAGGCGGUCUGUCAAGUCGGAUGUGAAAUCCCCGGGCUCAACCUGGGAACUGCAUUCGAAACUGGCAGGCUAGAGUCUUGUAGAGGGGGGUAGAAUUCCAGGUGUAGCGGUGAACUGCGUAGAGAUCUGGAGGAAUACCGGUGGCGAAGGCGGCCCCCUGGACAAAGACUGACGCUCAGGUGCGAAAGCGUGGGGAGCAAACAGGAUUAGAUACCCGUGUAGUC